AAAUUGAAGAGUUUGAUCAUGGCUCAGAUUGAACGCUGGCGGCAGGCCUAACACAUGCAAGUCGAACGGUAACAGGAAGCAGCUUGCUGUUUUGCUGACGAGUGGCGGACGGGUGAGUAAUGUCUGGGAAACUGCCUGAUGGAGGGGGAUAACUACUGGAAACGGUAGCUAAUACCGCAUAACGUCGCAAGACCAAAGAGGGGGACCUUCGGGCCUCUUGCCAUCGGAUGUGCCCAGAUGGGAUUAGCUAGUAGGUGGGGUAACGGCUCACCUAGGCGACGAUCCCUAGCUGGUCUGAGAGGAUGACCAGCCACACUGGAACUGAGACACGGUCCAGACUCCUACGGGAGGCAGCAGUGGGGAAUAUUGCACAAUGGGCGCAAGCCUGAUGCAGCCAUGC
RNAcentral lists this ribosomal RNA (400 nucleotides) under Escherichia coli. Its description in RNAcentral is "bacterial SSU rRNA". It matches the Rfam family "Bacterial small subunit ribosomal RNA", at positions 1 to 397 of the family's 1533-position model. The record is from RNAcentral. Lineage: Bacteria; Pseudomonadati; Pseudomonadota; Gammaproteobacteria; Enterobacterales; Enterobacteriaceae.